Non-coding RNA from Paramuricea clavata, 583 nucleotides. The record is from the annotation of a GenBank genome assembly. NCBI's taxonomy places the organism in Eukaryota, Metazoa, Cnidaria, Anthozoa, Malacalcyonacea, Plexauridae.
GGGUUUGACGGUUUGUUUACAUUACAUACUUUACAUGGCCUUUAAUGAAACCUUUUUUGGCUACUAACACCAAUGUUUCUGACAGAGUUGUACAGGCAAUACUGUAAACAGAAACACUAUAUCAUCAAACAAUUCUAUCAAACAUUCAAACGAGUUGACAAGUUGCAAAAGAAUCCAAAUGCUGUUUAAUUGUUGCAUUCAUACCAUGAUUCAUACAUUUACAGUUCAAUUAAAAAAUCCCAAAUCUUGUACAAACACAGUCGUAGCAUACGUGUACGCUUGUAAGUCUUGUACGCUUGAACUUGUUUUCAAUAAUAACACUCCAAUAUAUAGUAGUAGAUCAAGGACAUAUGCCAUCAUUCCCAUCAAUACUCACUCAGAGUGAACCAAGAGUAUGAAUUAUUACCAUAACGAAGCCUGUUAUUUUGCCCAAAUGUAUUCAAGUAUGCAUAAAUCAACUCCUUAAUCCCUUCACCACUUUUUCGGACGAAAAGCAACCAAAAAUGCGUCAAAAUAAGCAAAUUUUCAGGCCAAAUAAAGCAAAAUAUAUCGUAUUCACUCAUAUUGGCCGCGCUCGUGAACG